UAACGCGAAGAACCUUACCAGGUCUUGACAUCCUUUGAAGCUUUUAGAGAUAGAAGUGUUCUCUUCGGAGACAAAGUGACAGGUGGUGCAUGGUCGUCGUCAGCUCAUGUCGUGAGAUGUUGGGUUAAGUCCCGCAACGAGCGCAACCCUUAUUGUUAGUUGCCAGCAUUCAGUUGGGCACUCUAGCGAGACUGCCGGUGACAAACCGGAGGAAGGCGGGGACGACGUCAGAUCAUCAUGCCCCUUAUGACCUGGGCUACACACGUGCUACAAUGGCGUAUACAACGAGUUGCCAACCUGCGAGGGUGAGCUAAUCUCUUAAAGUACGUCUCAGUUCGGACUGCAGUCUGCAACUCGACUGCACGAAGUCGGAAUCGCUAGUAAUCGC
RNAcentral lists this ribosomal RNA (388 nucleotides) under uncultured bacterium. Its description in RNAcentral is "bacterial SSU rRNA". It matches the Rfam family "Bacterial small subunit ribosomal RNA", at positions 957 to 1345 of the family's 1533-position model. The record is from RNAcentral.